This 23-nucleotide microRNA is filed under the name Pongo abelii (Sumatran orangutan). RNAcentral's name for it is "Pab-Mir-766_5p (mature (guide))". The record is from RNAcentral. RNAcentral also lists the same sequence under 1 other name. Lineage: Eukaryota; Metazoa; Chordata; Mammalia; Primates; Hominidae.
AGGAGGAAUUGGUGCUGGUCUUU